RNAcentral lists this ribosomal RNA (806 nucleotides) under uncultured Verrucomicrobiota bacterium. RNAcentral describes it as "bacterial SSU rRNA". It matches the Rfam family "Bacterial small subunit ribosomal RNA", at positions 69 to 848 of the family's 1533-position model. The record is from RNAcentral. Lineage: Bacteria; Pseudomonadati; Verrucomicrobiota.
UAAUUUCACUGUAGCAAUACAGUGGAGUUGGAGCGGCGCAAGGGUGCGUAACACGUGGGUAAUUUGCCGUAGAGUUGGGGAUAACUCGCUGAAAGGCGAGCUAAUACCGGAUGUGAAGUUUGGGUGGCAUCACCUGACCUUUAAAGCUGGGGACCGCAAGGCCUGGCGCUCUACGAUAAGCCCGCGGCCUAUCAGCUAGUUGGUGAGGUAACGGCUCACCAAGGCUAAGACGGGUAGCUGGUCUGAGAGGACGACCAGCCACACUGGAACUGAGACACGGUCCAGACACCUACGGGUGGCAGCAGUCGAGAAUUUUUCUCAAUGGGCGCAAGCCUGAAGGAGCGACGCCGCGUGGGGGAUGAAGGGUUUCGAUCCGUAAACCCCUGUCAUUCGUGAACAAUGGUUACCGUUGAACAUUCGGUGACUUGAUAGUAACGGAAGAGGAAGGGACGGCUAACUCUGUGCCAGCAGCCGCGGUAAUACAGAGGUCCCGAGCGUUGUUCGGAUUCACUGGGCGUAAAGGGUGCGUAGGUGGCAUGGUAAGUUUGAUGUGAAAGCUCAGGGCUUAACCCUGAAAUGGCAUUGAAUACUACGGUGCUGGAGGUUUGGAGGGGGGACUGGAAUUCUUGGUGUAGCAGUGAAAUGCGUAGAUAUCAAGAGGAACACCAGUGGCGAAGGCGAGUCCCUGGACAACACCUGACACUGAGGCACGAAAGCUAGGGGAGCAAACAGGAUUAGAUACCCUGGUAGUCCUAGCCCUAAACGGUGUGCGCUUGCUGUAAGAGGAAUCGACCCCUCUUGUGGCG